CUCGCUUUGCAUCUGGUCCCUGCUCUCAGCCUGAUCACCUUGAUGACCCUCACCUGACAGAUUACCCAGUCGCAGGCUGCCCAGCUGAAAGACACCAUGGAUUUUCUUUUAUUUAAGAAAACGUUAUACAGGACACAGCAAUACCUUCCAGAGGAUGCAGCGACAAGACACCAUCUUGGAAGCAGAGAGCAGCCAUCACCAGACAUCAAACUUGCCAGCAUCUUAAUCGUAGACUUCCCAGCCUCCGGGACUGUAAAAAAUAAAUUUCUAUUGUUCAUAAA
Callithrix jacchus (white-tufted-ear marmoset) is the source of this 281-nucleotide non-coding RNA. The record is from RefSeq and is a predicted model, not a curated record. Lineage: Eukaryota; Metazoa; Chordata; Mammalia; Primates; Cebidae.